AGUGAACGCUGGCGGUAGGCCUAACACAUGCAAGUCGAACGGCAGCACAGUAAGAGCUUGCUCUUACGGGUGGCGAGUGGCGGACGGGUGAGGAAUACAUCGGAAUCUACUUUUUCGUGGGGGAUAACGUAGGGAAACUUACGCUAAUACCGCAUACUACCUACGGGUGAAAGCAGGGGAUCUUCGGACCUUUCGCGAUUGAAUGAGCCGAUGUCGCAUUAGCUAGUUGGCUGGGUAAAGGCCCACCAAGGCGACGCUCCGUAGCUGAUCUGAGAGGAGGAUAGGCCACACUGGAAAUGAGACACGGUCCAGACUCCUACGGGAGGGAGCAGGAGGGAAUAUUUGGCAAUGGGGGAAAGCCUGACGGAGCCAAGCCGGGGGAGUGAAGAAGGGCUUUGGAUUGUAAAACCCUUUUAUUUGGGAAGAAAAAACGUGUGGUUAACUCCCCACUUUUUGACGGUACCCAAAAAGAAAGCCACGGCUAACUACGUG
Molecule: ribosomal RNA, 492 nt
Filed under: uncultured bacterium
Lineage: Bacteria
Description: partial 16S ribosomal RNA
Rfam family: Bacterial small subunit ribosomal RNA
Source: RNAcentral